AAGGAUUUAAGUUAAACACCCAAACUAAUAGCCUUCAAAGCUGUAAAUAGAAGAUUUCUAAGCCUUG
This 67-nucleotide transfer RNA is filed under the name Cucujoidea sp. 45 KM-2017. Its description in RNAcentral is "tRNA-Trp". Lineage: Eukaryota; Metazoa; Arthropoda; Insecta; Coleoptera. The record is from RNAcentral.